UAGGGAAUCUUCGGCAAUGGGGGGAACCCUGACCGAGCAACGCCGCGUGAGUGAAGAAGGUUUUCGGAUCGUAAAGCUCUGUUGUUAAGGAAGAACGAGUGUGAGAAUGGAAAGUUCAUACUGUGACGGUACUUAACCAGAAAGGGACGGCUAACUACGUGCCAGCAGCCGCGGUAAUACGUAGGUCCCGAGCGUUGUCCGGAUUUAUUGGGCGUAAAGCGAGCGCAGGCGGUUAGAUAAGUCUGAAGUUAAAGGCAGUGGCUCAACCAUUGUAGGCUUUGGAAACUGUUUAACUUGAGUGCAGAAGGGGAGAGUGGAAUUCCAUGUGUAGCGGUGAAAUGCGUAGAUAUAUGGAGGAACACCGGUAGCGAAAGCGGCUCUCUGGUCUGUAUCUGACGCUGAGGCUCGAAAGCGUGGGGAGCGAACAGG
RNAcentral lists this ribosomal RNA (429 nucleotides) under Bacteroidota bacterium. RNAcentral describes it as "Bacteroidetes bacterium partial 16S ribosomal RNA". It matches the Rfam family "Bacterial small subunit ribosomal RNA", at positions 355 to 776 of the family's 1533-position model. The record is from RNAcentral. Lineage: Bacteria; Pseudomonadati; Bacteroidota.